RNAcentral lists this unclassified non-coding RNA (561 nucleotides) under Bombus terrestris (buff-tailed bumblebee). RNAcentral describes it as "misc RNA ENSBTSG00005037843.1". The record is from RNAcentral. Lineage: Eukaryota; Metazoa; Arthropoda; Insecta; Hymenoptera; Apidae.
AUCUGUUCGUCUCUGGGUAUCCUGAUUGUCGCGAGCACUCUCUAUUCUCGAUUCUCAAUUCGCGGUAAGUAUCAAGAACGAUUAUCCCAUGGAAGAUCGCAGCACGACAUUUCUGGGCAAUCGCGGAUAUUGGAGGGUUGGGAGCAACAGAGUAGCGCGGCUCGCAGCUAGCAGCGCGGCCCUUUGCGCGUACACGCGUGGACCGAGCACAUCGGCUGGUUCAGCAGCCACCGAUCGAUGAUACGUUCAUCAGGAUUCACCUUGGGCGCAUAUUCGAAUCUCACUGAAACUCUGUCGCUCAGCGCGCAGAUAAAAUCAAGCAAUGACGAAUAUACACGUCGAAUGCGGAACAAAUAUUCUUAUUAUAAAUUUUACGAAAAAAAUGGCACAUCUUCGAAGUGGAUUUGCUUUUGAUGGUGUAGCUGAUAUAAAGUUAUAUAAGCUGAUAUAGAACACAAAACAAUUCGAGGAAUAGCUGAUAUACACAACAAAGUACACAAAACAAUUCGGGGAAUAGUCGAUAUAUGCACUUAUGGGAAUAAUCAUGUAAUCAAAUUUUUU